This 437-nucleotide ribosomal RNA is filed under the name uncultured bacterium. RNAcentral describes it as "SSU rRNA". It matches the Rfam family "Bacterial small subunit ribosomal RNA", at positions 26 to 518 of the family's 1533-position model. The record is from RNAcentral.
AGAAUGAACGCUAGCGAUAUGCUUAACACAUGCAAGUUGAACGUUGUUUUCGAAUCAGAAUGAGAACAAAGUAGCGAACGGGUGCGUAACACGUGGGAAUCUGCCGAACAGUUUGGGCCAAAUCCCGAAUGAAUAAAAGCUAAAAAGCGCUGUUUGAUGAGCCCACGUAGUAUUAGGUAGUUGGUUAGGUAAAAGCUGACCAAGCCUACGAUGCUUAGCUGGUCUUUUCGGAUGAUCAGCCACACUGGGACUGAGACACGGCCCAGACUCCUACGGGAGGCAGCAGUGGGGAAUCUUGGACAAUGGGCGAAAGCCUGAUCCGGCAAUAUGGCGUGAGUGAAGAAGGGCAACGCAGCUUGUAAAGCUCUUUCAUCGAGUGUGCGUAUUGUGACAAGACUCGAAUAAGACGCCCCGGCUAACUCCGCGCCAGCAGCCGC